This is a long non-coding RNA of Nyctereutes procyonoides (raccoon dog), 1774 nucleotides long. RefSeq lists it as uncharacterized. NCBI's taxonomy places the organism in Eukaryota, Metazoa, Chordata, Mammalia, Carnivora, Canidae. The record is from RefSeq and is a predicted model, not a curated record. The transcript is spliced from 4 exons.
UAGACCACUCUGGGAUUACUCUUUCCAGACUUCUGGUUGUGUGAGAGAAUCAAAUGCUUUUAUUAUUGAAGACCCUGUUGGGAAUUCAGUUUAUUGCAGCUGACCAAGUCCUACUGAUACAGAUGGGGGAAACUGAGGAAACACCAGGUUCAUGUCCCCGGGAGUGGCUGUCAGCAAGUUGCCUGCCAGGUGUUCUAAUUUGGAAGAGCAGCUCUCUUGAGGGUUGGAGAAAAGCCCAGAUUUGGUAGCAUGGCAAGUUCAAGCCUAGCCAGUGAGGAAACUGACAUUCGGAGAGGUCAUGCCACCUGUAGAAAUGACCAAAUAUUUCUGGAGCGAGGACUCAAACUCAGGUCAUCUGGAAUCCUACUCCAUUGAUAAGGAAGGAGAAAUACACAUGUGGAUAAAGGAGCAAGAGAAGCUCUUCCCGAAGUCAUUUCAUUAGCUUGAAAGCAAUGAAGACAACCUCACAACAGGCUGCAUGUGUGUGGAGCGAGCCCCAACUUCGAAUCACAAAGAUCUGGAUUCUGCAUUUGGUCUGAUUAUUUCUUGGUAUGUUAGCAUACCAAGCAUACCACAUCUUGGGCAGGUUUCUUAACCACAAUGUUCUUAGUUUUCUCAAAUGUAAGAUAAGGGUAAUGAUAUCUACUUUAUAGAGUUGAAAGCAUCGAAUAAGACAGUGUAUGUAAACUACUUAAGACUGCCUGGGAUAUAGUAGGUGCUCCAAACUUCUGUAAAACCAAGAUUAAAUUUUCCAUCCCUUGGUUCUUCCAGCCUCCAUGUCCACCCAUCUACCACAUGCAGCUCAGAAACCAAAGUGCUGCUUUAGUUGAAAGUGACAUGUGGCCUGGGACAUUGGCUGUCUCAGUGGUCACCAGUCAGCUGGGUGAGUCAUGGCCAGCAGAAUUUCUGCUGCUUUGGGUAAGAUAACUUGCAGCUGGGGAGGCACAGAAGUGGCUUUGUGGCAUCAGUGACAUUUGGGCUGGUCCCUAAGGAUGGUUAGGAUUUAGACUCACGCUCUAGGCCAGCAAGGUCUCAUUAAACUUUCUGCAGUGAUGGAAAUGUGCUAUCAUCUGCGCUGUCUACAAUGUGUGGCUAUUGAGCACUGGCAAUGUGGCCAGUGUGACUGAGGAGAGAAUUUUAAAUUUAAUUUUAAUUAAUUUAGACAGCCACAGGUGGCCAGUGGCUAUGGUAUUGGGCAGGACAGGACUUAAAGGGCUAGGCAGAGGAAACAGCGAAAGUAAAGUGACAGAAAAGGAAAACCAUGAGGACAGGCGUGGGUGUGGCACAUGUUUUAGUUUGGCUGCAGCCCAACCUUUAUGAAGGACACUGAUUGUACCGGUAACGGGAGAGGGACAUGUAGCAAACACUCGUAGUCAGGGUGAAGAGUUUCAAUGUUCUUUUCCAAGCCGUGGAAGCUGGGGCAGGUCUGUGAGCAAAGGAAUUACAGCAUGCUGCUCUACAUCAGAGCGACUCAUCUGGCAGGAGGCAGGGGAGUGUAGUCCCUGAUUGGACCACAUAGAAGCUGGAAAUGGAAGCCCUUGAAAGUGUUGCUGCAAAAACCCCAGGUGAAGCUCUCCCUGCAUCUGGGCACCGUAUGAACGGCUCUGCCUGGAUUAUCCUGUGUUAUUCCAAGGCAGGUGCUACCAAGAGAUCCAUUUGCAGACCAGGAAAUGGGUUUACCAUCCGUGAAGUUACAUAUCCUCAAGUAAGUACAGAAAUACAAAUUUGAACCCUGGCCUGUUGGAUUCCAAAGACCAAAAAAGAAAGUAUCGAA